This 253-nucleotide ribosomal RNA is filed under the name uncultured bacterium. Its description in RNAcentral is "partial 16S ribosomal RNA". It matches the Rfam family "Bacterial small subunit ribosomal RNA", at positions 524 to 776 of the family's 1533-position model. The record is from RNAcentral.
UACGGAGGGGGCUAGCGUUGUUCGGAAUUACUGGGCGUAAAGCGCACGUAGGUGGCUUUGUAAGUUAGAGGUGAAAGCCCGGGGCUCAACUCCGGAAUUGCCUUUAAGACUGCAUCGCUAGAACGUCGGAGAGGUAAGUGGAAUUCCGAGUGUAGAGGUGAAAUUCGUAGAUAUUGGGAAGAACACCGGUGGCGAAGGCGGCUAUCUGGACCGACAUUGACGCUGAGGCGCGAAAGCGUGGGGAGCAAACAGG